RNAcentral lists this ribosomal RNA (351 nucleotides) under Heterosigma akashiwo. Its description in RNAcentral is "partial Bacterial small subunit ribosomal RNA". It matches the Rfam family "Bacterial small subunit ribosomal RNA", at positions 1 to 362 of the family's 1533-position model. Lineage: Eukaryota; Raphidophyceae; Chattonellales; Chattonellaceae. The record is from RNAcentral.
AAUUGAGAGUUUGAUCCUGGCUCAGGAUGAACGCUGGCGGUAUGCUUAACACAUGCAAGUCGAACGAGAAAGUACCUUCGGGUGCGAGUAGAGUGGCGCACGGGUGAGUAACACGUAGGUAAUCUGCCUUUUGGUGGGGGAUAACCAGGAGAAAUCCUGGCUAAUACCGCAUAAGUUGGUAACAAGAAAGGAUGCUCCGGCAUUCGCCGAAAGAUGAGCCUGCGGAACAUUAGCUUGAUGGUGGGGUAACGGCCUACCAUGGCUUCGAUGUUUAGCUGGUCUGAGAGGAUGAUCAGCCACACUGGAACUGAGACACGGUCCAGACUGCUACGGGAGGCAGCAGUGGGGAAU